AUUGAACGCUGGCGGCAGGCCUAACACAGGUAAGUCGAACGGCAGCACAGAAGAGCUUGCUCCUUGGGUGGCGAGUGGCGGACGGGUGAGUAAUGUCUGGGAAACUGCCCGAUGGAGGGGGAUAACUACUGGAAACGGUAGCUAAUACCGCAUAACGUCGCGAGACCAAAGUGGGGGACCUUCGGGCCUCACACCAUCGGAUGUGCCCAGAUGGGAUUAGCUAGUAGGUGGGGUAAUGGCUCACCUAGGCGACGAUCCCUAGCUGGUCUGAGAGGAUGACCAGCCACGCUGGAACUGAGACACGGUCCAGACUCCUACGGGAGGCAGCAGUGGGGAAUAUUGCACAAUGGGCGCAAGCCUGAUGCAGCCAUGCCGCGUGUAUGAAGAAGGCCUUCGGGUUGUAAAGUACUUUCAGCGGGGAGGAAGGCGGUGAGGUUAAUAACCUCGCCGAUUGACGUUACCCGCGGAAGAAGCACCGGCUAACUCCGUGCCAGCAGCCGCGGUAA
This 506-nucleotide ribosomal RNA is filed under the name uncultured bacterium. RNAcentral describes it as "partial 16S ribosomal RNA". It matches the Rfam family "Bacterial small subunit ribosomal RNA", at positions 29 to 523 of the family's 1533-position model. The record is from RNAcentral.